CGGAAAAACACGUCUGCGUCCCCGCUCAGCUCCACACAUGCGGACAGCCAGCCCCACCCACACACCGGGAAGAGCGGGCGAGCGAGGAAGGCAGGCGAGGAAGGCAUCCAUCCUCCCCUCUCCUCCCCGCACCCCAGCGCCCGCCCCGCUCACCGGAACAAAAUAGCAGUGUAACUGAAGUACAUAACCAUGAAUUAAGAGACAUGACAUCUCUUUCCAGACUAAUCCCAUGUUGACAGAGCACCUAGCAGUGGAGAGUAAUCGAGAAUGCUACAGAGUACAACACUUCUGCCAUUCUGAAUUUGGAAGCAGUCAAGCUACGAUGUUUGCAUAAGGCUGUGUGUGAGAGAAGGAGUUCUGCCUUCUGCAUUUCGUUCUUCUGCACGGAAGCCAUGGAGGCUGAACUGCAUGAAAGUAGUCUGCAGCUGCUUGCAUGGAAAUAGCUAGUCAAGAGACAAUUUGAAAGCAAAUAUAACAAUUUUAAUUACCUGGCUCCCUGUCCAAAGCCCUAAUUAAA
This is a non-coding RNA of Meleagris gallopavo (turkey), 517 nucleotides long. NCBI's taxonomy places the organism in Eukaryota, Metazoa, Chordata, Aves, Galliformes, Phasianidae. The record is from RefSeq and is a predicted model, not a curated record.